CACUCCGGUCACUCGGCAGUACAUACCAGGUGUCACACCGCUGCCCGGCAGGUGAUGUGACGACACUGAAUUGGUCCGGAACCCUGCCUGUGCUCCAUGCCAGCUACCAGUCCUAGGUUGGCACAUUCCAUUGGGGACAUCCAUGGGAGAGCUAUGGCCAUUAACAAGUCCUGAGACCUGAUCUGAUGCCAUCAGUGGCCCAGAUGGAGGGACUAUGCUAGAAGGUGUGCCAAGGCCACUUACUGAGAGAGGGCCACAGCUGCUCUACUGCCUCUCUUCCUGGAUCUCCUGCUUAUGACAACUGACAACAAAGAUAUUUGACUCCGGAAGAUGCUCCCCACAGCUCACCUGAGAGGACUAUCCAGUACCCCACCCCCACCCCCACUGUGCCCUGUGCCAUCCACCUCUGAGUCCCCAACUUUAAGUAGACCCUGCUUCUCACCCAUGUCCCAAUUCCCACCAGGAGCCUUGCAUUUCAGAUCUGAGCAGCCCUGGCUUAGAAUCCUGAAGUGGGGGUGGGUAGGCAGACCCCCGGGGACUGAGCAGGGAGGGGAAGGGGGUUCUGCUCUUGGCUUUCCAAGUUCUCGGUAUGUAUAGCCCUUUGAAUAAUAAACAUAUAUCAUAUAAUGUAAA
Molecule: long non-coding RNA, 633 nt
Filed under: Mus pahari (shrew mouse)
Lineage: Eukaryota; Metazoa; Chordata; Mammalia; Rodentia; Muridae
Description: lncRNA (MGP_PahariEiJ_G0006363.1)
Source: RNAcentral